GGAGAGGUACCCAAGCGGCCAAAGGGGGCAGACUGUAAAUCUGCUGGUGCGUGCCUUCGCUGGUUCAAAUCCAGCCCUCUCCACCA
Molecule: transfer RNA, 86 nt
Filed under: Clostridia bacterium
Lineage: Bacteria; Bacillati; Bacillota; Clostridia
Description: tRNA-Tyr
Rfam family: tRNA
About the family: Transfer RNA (tRNA) molecules are approximately 80 nucleotides in length. Their secondary structure includes four short double-helical elements and three loops (D, anti-codon, and T loops).
Source: RNAcentral